GGUCUCUCAGCCUGGUGACGAGCUACAGGGGCACGAUGGUAUUGAACGCUGAACUUUAGUCUAUGAACAGUAUUCUCUCAUGUGUCCCUCUGGUCCAGGUGGGAGAGGGCAGUGUGUACCGUGAGGGAGAUGGCAUAUGGAUGACCUAUUCGGCCUGUAGGCAUACUGAAAGUGGUCCAGUGAGUCAGGAGGUGAUGAAGGAUUUGACUAACCACUCAAAACACUUCAUGAUGGUUGAGAUCCGGACCCGCUGUGGCCGCACCAUGGAUUACGAUUUUUGGAUCGUGCAUCAGAGGUCGCAAUGGUGGAUCCAGUAUGGCGGAUUCUAUAUCGUGCUGGCUCAUCGUAGUGUGAAUGACGGAUCCUUUGUCGCGUUGGAGUGAGAUAAUGGUGGUGGACCACGGCCGAGGCGGCGCCUGAUGAUGGAUCUUAAUAAGCGGCAGUGGACAAUGACUGUGGACUAUAGUGGAUCCGACCAGGAUGAUGGAUCAUUAUCUUGCUGGCUGCUGACCAUGGACUAUGAUUGCAGCUUGACUACUUGACAAAUCGUAUUGAAGUUAUCCUUCAAGAUGUUUACCCUUAUCAAUGCUGCUAAAAAACUUGAAUCUUGAUGAUGUUUUCCUGCAAUUGACAUGUAUUGCACGUCUGUCCGUCCUGGGAGAGGGAUCCCUCACAUGUGGCUCUCUCUGAGGUUUCUAUGUAUUUUUACCCUGUUAACAAGGUUUUUAAGUUGUUUUUCCUUACUCUUGCUGAGGGUUAAGGACAGAGGAUGUCUCACCAUGUUAAAGCCCUAUGAGACGAAGUGUAAUUUGUGAAUAUGGGCUAUACAAAUAAAAUUUGAUUGAUUGAUUGAUUGAAGUUGACAUUUUCCUUGAUUUGGGUCGCGGCUUGUCAUUAAGGAGUGAUGCUGGGUCUCGAAGCCAGACCAGUUGAGAACCACUGCUCUAAAGGUUGCAAAAUAUAACCUUGGAACCUUCAGAGAACGUUUGUAGAGGUUCUCUAUUUGCUGAGAUCGCUGGCUUUUUAUGUUUCCGGACUAAUUAUUACCUAUUAUUAAAACAUUAUUAUUAGUGUUUUGAUUGCGUUUAAUCAAACUUUAAUGCUAGCCACGGUCACACAGCCUUAAAACCAUAUGAAUAUCUUCGGGGGGGGGGGGGCUGUUGAUACAAACAUGUAGUUUGAGUGAGAUGGAACCAUAAACACUGAAGUAACAGCAAUUUCGUGUUUCACGGCAAGUUGAUGAACUUUAAUGCCACGCCAUUAAUAUGGCGAUUGACGAAAAGUCACAGUAAUCUUAUUCCUACACCAUGGUGAUGAUCACAAUGGUUUUGAAGAACAUUGUUAAGUUAAAGAAGUGGAAGAGGAAAAAGGUGAGUCAUCAUUGGUUUCUAGGAAAGUAUCUCAAUAGGUAAUGGGUUAUGGCAGCUAAUAACCCCUUUAUCCAUUUCAAACAGACUACGUACAGAACAGGCAGUUGAGGUCACUUCAGCACUGACUAAUAAUAAAUACCACAGGUAUGCACAGAGCACUUACCCACUGGAGCAAUUGAGAAGCUAAGCUAAGUGCUGUGUCGUAAUAUUGUAAAUAUUUGUGGCACUAAAGAAUUUAGUGGUAGUGAUUACCAGGUUACUUUGACCACUGCUACAACAACAAAGAGCCGAUCAGAGCUAGAAACUUUGGGCUAAACUCUUAGUACCGCAAGGUAACAAAUACACAGGUAGUAUAUGUGCUAAGCUAGUCUUGGAUGAGAAUAUAAAAACGUGCCGUGUAAGUAAUAAAGCACUGUUGCUUUUACUCGUCUAACAACAACGUCUAAUUCUCCCAUUGGCUUUACUUGUUUUCUUCUGUUUCUUUUCAGCAUCCUAAACUAUGUCUCUUCUUAUGAAGCUUUUGUGUAGUGUUACUCAUGGUGAAGGUAGAAAUUCACUGCAACACAGAGACUCCUCCUCUGUUAGUAUCAGUUCACUUUUUCCCCCGUAGCACCACUGCUUCCCCCAAUACAAAGAAGCUCUGCACCUUUGACCUCACCGCCUGGUGCCGCUUCACUCUCGGCAACUUCUUCGUCCUCCAUACACUGUUAGUUCUUCCACAAUGUAUUCAGACACAUUUAAGUUGCUACAAUGAGUUUUUAACUGGUUUUGAAACAAUCUAAUUUUAAUAUUGCUGUCUCACCAGAAAUAAUUUAGUGGCAACGUUGGUCCACUUGGAAAAACGUUCCCAUCUCACAAUUUGGACCCUCAAAUUGUGAGAUAAGUUGUGAGAUGGGAAUUUUUUUGUCCGCCCAUUGUUUUGCAUUGGCGUGUUCCCACGUCACGUGACGCCCAAGUUCCCGUCUGCGGAAAGGAAAUCAUGGCUGAAAUUCCUUGUUUUUUCAGAUAAAAAUGUCAUUUUGUAACUUAGUUUGGGCAUAAAAAUACAUUCUGACACCAUUUCUAGCGAGAAAUAUGCUCUUUGUUUCCACAGUCUUCAGCCAGUUCAUGCUUAUGAUCUACAGUGCCUUGCAUAAGUAUUCACCCCCCUUGGACUUUUUCCCAUUAUGUACUGUUACUAACUGGAAUUCAAAUAGACUUAAAUAAACUUUUUCCCGUUUGAUCAACAAAACAUGCAUAGUACUUUGGAGGUGCAAAAUAAAUUUUAUUGUGACACAAACAAUAAUGAGAACAAAAAAGUUGACAUCUGUUGGGUGCAUAAGUAUUCACCCCCCUGUGUCAAUACUUGGUAGAACCCCCUUUCGCUGCAAUUACAGCUGCAAGUCUUUUGGGGUAUGUCUCUACCAGCUUUGCACAUCUAGAGAUGGAAAGGUUUGUCCAUUCUUCUUGGCAAAAAAGAUGAAGCUCAGUCAGAUUGGAUGGAGACCGUCUGUGAACCGCAAUCUUCAAGUCUUGCCAUAGAUUCUCUAUUGGAUUGAGGUCUGGGCUUUGACUGGGCCAUUUUAAGACAUUAACAUUCUUUAAUCCAAACCAUUCCUUUGUAGCUCUGGCUGUAUGUUUAGGGUCACUGUCCUGCUGGAAGAUGAACCUCCGCCCCAGUCUCAAGUCUUUUGCAGACUGCAUCAGAUUUUCUUCAAGGAUUUCCCUGUAUUUGGCUCCAUCCAUCUUUCCCUGUAUUCUGACCGGUUUCCCUGUACCUGCUGAAGAGAAGCAUCCCCACAGCAUGAUGCUACCACCACCAUGUUUCACUGUUGGGAUGGUGUGCUCAGGGUGAUGGGCAGUGUUGGGUUUUCGCCACACAUAGCGUUUUGCAUUGAGGCCAAAAAGUUCAAUUUUGGUCUCAUCUGACCAGAGCACCUUCUUCCACAUGUUUGCUGUGUCUCCCACAUGGCUUCUGGCAAACUCCAAAUGGGAUUUUUUAUGGAUCCCUUUCAACAAAGGCUUUCUUCUUGACACUCUUCCAUAAAGGCCAGAUUUGUGGAGUAGACGACUAAUAGUUGUCCUGUGGACAGAUUCUCCCACCUCAGCUGUGGAUCUCUGCAACUCCUCCAGAGUAACCAUGGGCCUCCUGGUUGCUUCUCUGAUUAAUUUUCUCCUUGUCCGACUCUUCAGUUUGGGUGGACGGCCUCCUCUUGGUAGGUUUGCGGUUGUGCCAUAUUCUUUCCAUUUUCUUAUGAUGGAUUUUAUGGUGCUCAGAGAGAUGUUCAAAGCUCUGGAUAUUUUUUUAUAACCUAACCCUGCUUCAUAUUUCUCCACAACUUUAUCCCUGACCUGUUUGGUGAGCUCCUUGGUCUUCAUGAUGCUGUUUGUUCAGUAAUGAUCUCCAACAAACUCUGAGUCCGUCACAGAACAGGUGUAUUUAUACUGAGAUUAAAUUGCAGACAGGUGGACCCCAAUUACUAAUUAUGUGACUUGCAAAUGUGACUUGUGAAUGCAAUUGGUCGCACCAGAUCUUUGUUAGGGGUUUCACAGUAAAGGGGGUGAAUACAUAUGCACUCAACACUUUUCAGAUUUUUAUUUGUAAAUAAUUGUGAAAUCCAUGUAAUAUUUCCCCCCACUUCCAAAUGAUGCACUAUUUUGUGUUGGUCCAUUACAUAAACUCACGAUGAAAUAAAUUUUAAUCUGUGGUUAUACCAUGACAAAAUGUAGAAAAGUCCAAAGGGGGUGAAUACUUAUGCAAGGCACUGUAUAUUUUAUUAGUUAUCACAAAUGUUUUUCAGAUCUCGCCAGACAAUACGUCACGUUUUUAUCGUUGCUCUGAUUGUUGCUAUGAGCGCUGCCAUGCUGAAAACCCCGUCGUAGCGUGCUGUUUGAAUCAUCGUCCGUGUGUUGUGUUGUUCAGUGAUCGUGAAUGUUAUUCACGUUAUUUAAAAUUAAUAUUUGAUGAUAGAUUACACCUCUAAUUCAAAGGAUCUAAGAUGUCCCCGCGACUCUGUUCAUACCGAGGCAGGCACGAUCGCGCAUGCGUGAGUGGAUCUGUCACCUUGGACAGCUUAGUAUGGUUGUGUGUGGCAAUGGUGUGGCUGGCUCCUGACUGCAGCGGACGAGGCACACCUGCUCCCAAUUCAUCUCAUCAUCCCCUACAUAAAAGCCUGGUCUGCUCAUCACUUCGACGCCAGAUUAUUCCGUCUUCUCCGAAUCUCCAUGUGCCUUACCGCUCAGCUUCUCAUCCUCGCCUCGUCCUGGAUCUCCCAGCCAGCUAGCACCCUGCCGCUCCAGCCUGCACCAUCUUCUCCUGCCAAUAAACUCUGUUCGUUUUCCUUCACCUUAAUUGUCUCAGGGGGAUGUUCCAUUUGCAGACAAUGAGAGGAGGGGGGGAUUUCUAAUACUUUCUUAUUUUUAUUUUUAGCCAACGAUUAGGCUAAAAAAAGUCCUAACAUCGUUGUGAGAUUAUUUUCAAUACUUACAAAAGGAGUAAUGUUUUAUGAACCUUUUCUUUUCAUCUGAAUAUGUAUAUUAGUAUUCUGGUCUGUGAACCCCCCUGUUGCACUUUGGUAUGUGCCACUCAGGAACCGGUCUCUCUGUCUACAUUUGGAGCUGAAGGAGACCGGUAUGUUUAUGGAGUGUUCUGCUUCUAAUUGUCAUUCCAACGUUUAAUGCAUUUUACUGUGACUACUUUCUGAAAGAGCAAUUACAGCUAUAAUGUGUAAGGCACAAGUCUGUAUUGUAAGGAGUAUUCAAGUUAUUUCAAAAGUAAGUGCUGCUGCUUGUUAAGGGUCGCAAGGAAUUAUCUGAGAUGUAGUUUUCUUAUGGGAUUUGAAUAGAACAAAUUUGUAUGAUUGUCAAAAGUUAAUCACUAUACGACCGUUUCAAUUGACGGGUUUUGUCUACAAUGUAUACAUGUUUUGUUAUACUCUAUCUGCAUUUGGAGCUGAAGGAGACGGUAGUCUGAGAAGAGGAUGUGAACUGAUGUGUCCCCUGUCACAUGUUGUAUCAUUGCAGAUUUAUUCCAUAAAUGAGAUCAAAAGAGA
Pleuronectes platessa (European plaice) is the source of this 5401-nucleotide long non-coding RNA. RefSeq lists it as uncharacterized. The transcript has 4 exons. NCBI's taxonomy places the organism in Eukaryota, Metazoa, Chordata, Actinopteri, Pleuronectiformes, Pleuronectidae. The record is from RefSeq and is a predicted model, not a curated record.